GAUGAACGCUGGCGGCGUGCCUAAUACAUGCAAGUCGAGCGAAUGGAUUGAGAGCUUGCUCUUAUGAAGUUAGCGGCGGACGGGUGAGUAACACGUGGGUAACCUGCCCAUAAGACUGGGAUAACUCCGGGAAACCGGGGCUAAUACCGGAUAACAUUUUGAACCGCAUGGUUCGAAAUUGAAAGGCGGCUUCGGCUGUCACUUAUGGAUGGACCCGCGUCGCAUUAGCCAGUUGGUGAGGUAACGGCGCACCAAGGCAACGAUGCGUAGCCGGCGUGAGGGGGUGAUCGGCCACACUGGGACUGGGACACGGCCCAGACUCCUACGGGAGGCAGCAGUAGGGAAUCUUCCGCAAUGGACGAAAGUCUGACGGAGCAACGCCGCGUGAGUGAUGAAGGCUUUCGGGUCGUAAAACUCUGUUGUUAGGGAAGAACAAGUGCUAGUUGAAUAAGCUGACACCUUGACGGUACCUAACCAGAAAGCCACGGCUAACUACGUGCCAGCCGCCGCCGUAA
This 515-nucleotide ribosomal RNA is filed under the name uncultured bacterium. RNAcentral's name for it is "partial 16S ribosomal RNA". It matches the Rfam family "Bacterial small subunit ribosomal RNA", at positions 28 to 523 of the family's 1533-position model. The record is from RNAcentral.